This 481-nucleotide ribosomal RNA is filed under the name uncultured bacterium. RNAcentral describes it as "bacterial SSU rRNA". It matches the Rfam family "Bacterial small subunit ribosomal RNA", at positions 32 to 507 of the family's 1533-position model. The record is from RNAcentral.
AACGCUGGGGCAGGCUUAAUACAUGCAAGUCGAACGGUACAUGUCGGAGCAAUCUGAUGAUGACGAGUGGCGCACGGGUGCGUAACGCGUAUGCAACCUACCCAUAACCGGAACAUAACGUUGAGAAAUCGGCGCUUAAUAUUCCAUGUGUAUAUUUUGUGGCAUCAUAGAAUAUAUAAAGAUUAAUUGGUUAUGGAUGGGCAUGCGUAUCAUUAGCUAGUUGGUGGGGUAACGGCCUACCAAGGCUGCGAUGAUUAGGGGUUCUGAGAGGAUAACCCCCCACACUGGAACUGAGACACGGUCCAGACUCCUACGGGAGGCAGCAGUAGGGAAUAUUGGGCAAUGGAGGCAACUCUGACCCAGCCAUGCCGCGUGAAGGAAGACGGUCCUAUGGAUUGUAAACUUCUUUUAUCAUAGAGUAACCGCAGGGACGUGUCCCUGCCUGCAAGUAUAUGAUGAAUAAGCAUCGGCUAACUCCGUG